This 533-nucleotide ribosomal RNA is filed under the name uncultured bacterium. RNAcentral's name for it is "bacterial SSU rRNA". It matches the Rfam family "Bacterial small subunit ribosomal RNA", at positions 777 to 1304 of the family's 1533-position model. The record is from RNAcentral.
AAUAGAUACCCUGGUAGUCCACGCCGUAAACGAGUGAAUGUUAGCCGUCGGGCAGUUUACUGUUCGGUGGCGCAGCUAACGCAUUAAACAUUCCGCCUGGGGAGUACGGUCGCAAGAUUAAAAACUCAAAGGAAUUGACGGGGGCCCGCACAAGCGGUGGAGCAUGUUGGUUUAAUUCGAAGCAACGCGCAGAACCUUACCAGCCCUUGACAUCCCGAUCGCGGAUUACGGAGACGUUUUCCUUCAGUUUCGGCUGGAUCGGAGACAGGUGCUGCAUGGCUGUCGUCAGCUCGUGUCGUGAGAUGUUGGGUUAAGUCCCGCAACGAGCGCAACCCUCGCCCUUAGUUGCCAGCGUUUAGUUGGGCACUCUAAGGGGACUGCCGGUGAUAAGCCGAGAGGAAGGUGGGGAUGACGUCAAGUCCUCAUGGCCCUUACGGGCUGGGCUACACACGUGCUACAAUGGUGGUGACAGUGGGCAGCGAGACCGCGAGGUCGAGCUAAUCUCCAAAAGCCAUCUCAGUUCGGAUUGCACU